UACAGCCACAUCAUUUUGAAACACUGGUUCUCGUGCGAUCACCGAAGUUAAGCAACGUCGAGUUUGGUUAGUAUCCAGAUGUGUGACCGCUUUGGAAUACCAAGUGUUGCAA
This is a non-coding RNA of Acanthosepion pharaonis, 112 nucleotides long. The record is from the annotation of a GenBank genome assembly. NCBI's taxonomy places the organism in Eukaryota, Metazoa, Mollusca, Cephalopoda, Sepiida, Sepiidae.